GACGAACGCUUGCGGCGUGCUUAACACAUGCAAGUCUAACGGAAAGGCCCUGCUUUUGUGGUGUGCUCGAGUGGCGAACUGGUGAGUAACACGUUAUUAACCUGCCCUUGACUUUGGGAUAACUUCAGGAAACUGGGGCUAAUACCGGAUAGGAGCUCCUGCUGCAUGGUGGGGGUUGGAAAGUUUCGGCGGUUGGGGAUGGACUCGCGGCUUAUCAGCUUGUUGGUGGGGUAGUGGCUUACCAAGGCUUUGACGGGUAGCCGGCCUGAGAGGGUGACCGGCCACAUUGGGACUGAGAUACGGCCCAGACUCCUACGGGAGGCAGCGGUGGGGAAUAUUGCACAAUGGGCGGAAGCCUGAUGCAGCAACGCCGCGUGCGGGAUGACGGCCUUCGGGUUGUAAACCGCUUUCGCCUGUGACGAAGCGUGAGUGACGGUAAUGGGUAAAGAAGCACCGGCUAACUACGUG
This 468-nucleotide ribosomal RNA is filed under the name uncultured bacterium. RNAcentral describes it as "partial 16S ribosomal RNA". It matches the Rfam family "Bacterial small subunit ribosomal RNA", at positions 28 to 507 of the family's 1533-position model. The record is from RNAcentral.